Long non-coding RNA from Anguilla rostrata (American eel), 6646 nucleotides. RefSeq lists it as uncharacterized. NCBI's taxonomy places the organism in Eukaryota, Metazoa, Chordata, Actinopteri, Anguilliformes, Anguillidae. The transcript is spliced from 4 exons. The record is from RefSeq and is a predicted model, not a curated record.
AGCAUAAAAAACCUGUCUAUCUAAGGGUUUUAAUAUUGUGUUGUUUAAAGAUAGUGUCAUAUGCAUUACCUGCUAAGACACACUUCAGAAAUUUACACCCCGAAAUACUCGCAGAUUUUUCCAAUUAAUUUGUCGCACAGUUGUCAGGGUGGAACUGUAUUCCACUGCCCUCUUGUGGUUAACUUAAGUUUUUCAAAUGUGUGUUCUAGUGUAGUUCCCACAGUUAAAUUGCGAUUUUCUCAUUAUUUUCCUACUCUAGACUCCGUAUUUGUUUACGGACACCAACAAGACUGGAUAACGAUCGGAGCUAACGUGCAAAUGGAGCGUUUCCUUAUAAAGACUAAGGUUGGGGUUUUUAGAUUCUGGUGUUCAUGUUCUGCUUCCUGUGAGCAUUGUCAUACCGUCGUUUUAUCGACCAGUUGUCAGUAAUUAAGAAGCCCCCGUGGUCGCAUUUCAUGAGCAGUUCAUCAUCGGUCAUCCCCAUCAUGGCAGAUCAAUUUGUAUCAUUGCCGUCACCUAAAAAAAAAAAAAAAGGAAGUCUUUAUGAUGUCAUUCAUAUUUCAGCCACUGGGAGGAGCUCUAGGCUGGGCUAUGAAAUGGCACAUACUGCGAUUCACUAAGUACAAGAAAUUACCUCUAUUUUACCGCUUAAUUUUCGAAAUAAAUGUGGAGUUUUUAUAGUUUAAGUUUUCUAAAAAUAAAUUUGGAACCUACAUUGCCCAUGCACCUGAAUGUGAAACUUGGGUUUCCGCUGAUGUGCCGCAUAAGAACGAGGACGAACAGAAGCGCUGCAGGAAAAGAGGUGGUGCGUUUGGAAACCCGGCCUCAUCUCCGGGCGGUAGAUCAAGAUGGCCGCCGUGUGUGGGACCUGCAGCGCUCUGAGCCAGCCAUUGUUUGCACUUGGUCGAACGGGACCCAAGCUGACCAUGUCCAAUCCCAGGCCAAUCCCAGGCCAAUCCCAGGCCAAUCCCAGGCCUGCCAGCACUCUUUCAGGUGAUGGGUGAAACCCUUCUCUCCUGGGUAGAGGAAGUAGACAGCAUCACUGGUCACCCUGGAGGACCCUGUCACAUGACCCUGCAUGCCUGGGAAUUCUCUGCUGAUGUCACUCACUCUUAGUCCAAUGGUGUGAUGAACACAAAACCCACCACAAAAUACAAAAUAACUUCUAGAGAUUGCUUAAGUGGGAAGAUGCUCAAGAAGGCUAAAAAAGAUUUAGUGUUCUUUGAAAUAUGCUGACACAAGCAUCGUCUGGUUGGCCAAGUCAUCCUAUUAUCUGUGGCUGGUGACCCGUGAGUUAUUUAAGGGGUUAGAGGAGGGUAAACGGGGUGGUUAGGGGUGAGAGGGGAGGCAGAAAUGACUCCUGCUACUCUAAGUCCUCUAAUUUGGCCCAUUAAAACCCGUUCCUUGCACAAGAGGCAUUGUGGACAAAACAAUGUAUUGGGGUUCCUCCCUGGCUCAGUGAAAGAGACUAUACAGACGUUGACAAAGACGAGCAAAACCGCGGUCUCCACACAAGUGAACACACACACACACACACACAAACACACACAAACAACACACAGACUGCUCCAUCCAUGGUAACACACACAGCUACUGGGUUCAGGAACAUUCAGUUUUCACAAUUCCGCUCGAGCCAGCGUGAGACUGUCGAUCUGCAGCUCGCCCUCCGUCUGGACGACUGGAGCUCCACGCACUCGUCAACCACGGAGUCUAAUCCGUCUCUGGAUCGACCUUUCCGAAGAGUUUGGCGACAGAUCAACAGAGCGGCCCACUGCCCUAGAACCUGGGGCACCGUGUCGACCAGAUUAAAAGUUGAAACGGUUGGUGCGGGAGCCUUUAUCCGGGCCUGCGAAUUCCUCGGGGUGAAAAGGUGCGAAGGAAGGGUACCCCAAAACGGUCCUGUCUCCGUCUCUACACCUCUACUUACUGACCUGGGUAAAACACGGCGGCUAAAUGAACGUGUGAACAUAGGAACGAAGAGAAAUGCUGGUCAGAGAUAGAAAUUACACAAGGCAAUUAAAAUGGAAAUAAAUGGGAGAAUACGUUAGAGCACAUUAGAGAUUAAACCAAAUGAAUGCCUGUACCGAUGGCAGAAUAUGAUAGUGAGGUAUGUAUGGGCCAAGUCUGCACUGUAGAGACUAUUGAAGGAAUGCAGAAGUGUACGGCAAGAUGAGUGAAGGGGAGAAGUAGAGGUUUCCUCUCCGAACCCCCCCCCCCCCCCUUUUUCAAAGAACAGGGAAGUCAAUCAAAUGGGGCAGAGGUGAGAGCCGCCCUCCUGGGGCUGAAACCCCCAAAAUGACAGUAAGGGGGACGGUCAGUGGAAAGACGAGAGGGGGUGCAGAAUUUGGGUAGAGCCGGAAUGAAGGCCCGACACACACGCGGUAAUCUCCGGGUCAAACUGGGGGUCCCGGGAGAAGCAGCACACACACAUCCUCGGCUGCGUUUACACCCCCCCCCCCCCAAUCCACUUACCCCUUCAGCGUCACGGAGAUCACACGCCCCUCGCCCCUGCGUCCUGCCCCGUCCCGUACAAUACCACUCAUUUCCUCCGUCUUCUGCGGCUGACAGAACAAACCACGCACCCCCCCCCCCCCCCCCCCCCCCUGCCCCCCCACACCCACCUCACCCCAUCCUGUUCUGUUGUCCAUUUACUGUGGUUUCUCUUUUGGGGGGGGGUGAGGGUGGGGGUACCGUGAGACAACUAGAGUGACAGAAUAAACAGCAUCUUAAAAAAUCCUUCCUUUUAAGGUGUUUUUUUGUUCCUUCCCCCUGCAGAACUCUGGUCUCAUUUGGUCGUUUUUUUUCUUUUCGUUCUUUGUUUUCCCCCUGUUGCUGGCUUGGAAAUCGAAGAUUUUUGAAUUCCUUCCAUUGCCUUCGUUCCUCGGUCGCGUCCGACGUGUCCGCUCUGCGCUGAGAUCACAGGCCGGCCCGAACGCAGCCCGGGGGGGAGGGGGGGACGGAUACGUCCCGUUUUUGCGUUUCGCGAAAACGAGCUGGCCCCCCUACGCAGCGUUCUCCUGCCCCCCCGGUUAAGAUUCCGCAAAUACAACUCCUGAAUGGUGUGUCAUUAGUGAGUCUUAGUCAUAAUAUUCAUAUUCACAAUGCGAAGCAUUAUCUAUAUCUCUCUAGUCAACAAAGGAAAUGAAUACCUUAACAACAACAACAACAACAAACAAAAAACAUCUGGAAUUUUUCAUGGAAGUUUGCCGUGCCCUGCAUUGUUCAUAGAGCAGGCCAGUGCAGUGUGCCACGAAGGUGAGGAAGAAUUCAAUUGUCUUAUUUUUGGCUCGUAUGGGUGGAGUUAUCGUGGGUGCGGCCCGUUCUGUCUGAGGCGACCGAGUCAGAGGACAAUGCCAGCGGAGGACCAGCGGGGAACCGGACGGGCACCAUUCCUGCUCUAUGCCUCGGUGCCGAUCGGCGAUCAUGUGAGGUUAGGGCCUUGGCGGCGCCGUCCAAUCAGAGACGAGCGUCACGCACCGCGCGCGGUAUGUUUUCGCGGUAUGACAGAAUUCCCCUCCCCUUCUCGCGGUGCGCGCGGAAUGUAUUUUUGCGCGUUAAACUGCUUUCCGUGGUCAUGGUAACGCAGGCUGCCCUCUCUGCGCGUUUCCGCCCCGGUGUGUCUCUGUUUCAGCGGGGAAUCCGCUCAGGAAAUUGUCUGUUUUAGCGCAGGUGCCCUUGCCCCAAGGUACGGCCCGUCCUGAGAUAUUGUCAUCCUGCUAUGCGACUAUGUGGAGCAAACAGCUACGUGUACACACACACAUAUACAUGCACACGCACACGCACGCAGCCCAUGCACACACACACACACAAUUUGUAAGGUGUUUUCUGUGGUCAAGGGGAUCUGAUAGUGUAGAUUUAUAUAUGAUGUACUGUAUAUAUGAGCCCACUUGGGCUCUACUGUAUGUUAGAGUUCAAUUAAAAUUCCCAGUUUUACUGUGCUCUUUGACUCAUGUAAACUCUGUUGGAGUUCAAUUAACAUUCCCAAAUUUACUGUGCUCUUCGACUCAUGUAAACUAUGUUGGAGUUCAAUUAACAUUCCUAAUUUUACUGUGCUCUUGGAGUUAUGUAAACUAUGUUGGAGUUCAGUUAACACUCACCAUUUUACUGUGCUUAUUUCCUAUGGUCAUUUCAACAUAUACAGCCUUAAAACCCAUUUGACUAUGUAAAUGAAAUGCUGGCGUUUUUUCUUUUUAUCCAGCUGUGAUAGUUCAGUAAGAUAUUCCAGAAAGCUAACCCUGCUGAUUGGCUGUUCCUGGCUCGGGCGGAGGCAUGACGGUCGCUGUCCUUCUCACAGGUGAACGGGAACAUCGGGUACUCGCGUGCCGUUUAAAAUGUUCCUGUGGAGGAAAGGAUGAAUGAGCGAGGGAGAGAAGAAAAAAAAGAGACGGCGAGGAUUCUCUCGUCUGACAGGCGAAGCGGACGCUCGGGCGUUUCCCCCACCUGCUGAAUGACAGCCGUGAUGUCAUCGCAGCGCCGGUGAUGUGUGCGCAGAAACGCUGCCUGUGAACUCGCACCUGCGGCCGACUCCUCGCCCUCCGGGGCUGAUACCGCACGACGGAGCGAGACGCUGGCUCUGAUUGGCUACCGCACCGUAGGCCGUGAUUGGCUACCGCGGAACGCAGUCGUCGGUGCCCCGGGGUGGACAGGCGCAUGGGGUCACUGCCUCCACCCCCCCCGUCUCAGCAACGGGGCGGAAAAUCAGUACGAGUCCACCCUGAUCCCUCCUUAAUCCAGGUAUUGUCACAACAAACAGUGUUAGAUCAGAGAGAAGUGUGUGUGUGUGUGUGCAUGUGUGUGUGUCAGUGUGUUAUGUUAUGUGUGGUAUGAUCCGAGUGUACAUGGAUUGCAGCCAAGCCUGAUUCCCCUCAACUUAGUGUGCUGUAUGUUGACUGGUUGUGAUGACUGCUGAGUGUUUAACAUUUUAAUGUUUCAGUUAUUUUGGUAAGUUUGAGACCUGCGCUUUUCGGCUUGCCUCAAAGCACCGUACCAUUGGUUGAGCCCUUGUGAACUGAACUGAACUGAACUGAACAGCCCCUGAACCAAACUUUGGAAUCCAAGGUUUCCUUGAAGUCAGUUUAAUAUUUUCUGUUGUGAAUUACUGCUUUAAAUGUGUGAUUGAUAAGGAGGGUUUUUUAUUGUUUAUAUGGCUCUGUUUGUCUGUGGUUAUAUGUCCUGAAAAGACCUGAAUCUUGUGAUGUGUUAAAAUUUGAACAGGCCUGUAGGACAUCUCCAAGAAAGAGAAACAUCUGUGGAGGGUGGACUGUGUGUGUGUGUGUGUGUGUGUAUGCGCGUGCGUACUGUGUGUGUGUGUGUGUGUGUGUGCUUGUGGGUAUGUGCGUGUGUGUUAUGAGUGUGUGUGUUUGUGUGUGAUUGUAUUUGCGUGUGUGUGUGCGUGCGUGCGUGCGUGCGUGUGUAUGUGUAUGGGGAUUAUGGAGUUAAACUCAGGUCAGGGUGAAAGGACACUGUACCCUCCUCAUUACGGUGCGCCUGUGGCUCCAGCUGCCCUAACCCUCAGUCCCUGGUGCCAGGACUGGGAGACCCUGUGCCGCAGACACCAAACAUUCACACAGCUCCCUGGAAACUGUCCCAUCCGCGGUUCUUUGGCCGAAGCGGAUCAUGUUUUCCUAAACUGUGGCAACAGAAACUUCUCUGCACAUCUCACUGGUCUGGCUGCAUCUGAGAUUUUCUGGAAGACGUUGCCUUAGAUCAGCGCUCUUUCCCUUUUUUUUCUCUUCUACUCGUUUCGUCUUUUAGUGUGCUCUCUGCUCCUCCCUGUCAGUCCUGUCUUUCACCUGGUCCUCCAAACUCAGACUGUAUGCACUGUGACCACUGUAGUGGUACUUUAAAAAAUUUGGUUCAAUUCAAAAUUAUUCGUAUCGCUUUUGGUACCAAGCCACUGUCACUGAACACAAAGACACUGUACAGUGGAAAUGGGCAAAAAAAAACUUUUUUUGGCAUCCAUUAAAAUGCACUGCAACAGUUUAUAUUGAGCCUCAAACGGACAUUUUACAGCGUUCUCUUGCUAGGUUAGUCUCCACUGGACAUGAGACUACCAUGGCACACACGGCAUGUGCAGAAUAGCUCCACUCAGUUGCAGCUUGCGUUCUGGACUGACAGAGGAGUGAUGAGGAAAGAAUGCAGAAACCACAUCCAUGUUUGACAGGCAGGCAGGCGGGCGGGGAUUUAGUGGAUUUUAUUGGAGCUGAAAGGAAGACUCAUUUCCCCUUGGACAGGCCUAGUGAGGACCUGUGUGUGAAGAUCACCGCUGUGUGUGUUCUUACGGUAACUGCCCUGGCACCCAGUCCACCGUUCCACACUCCUCACCUCCCAUCUGGGGACCAACAAUCAGCUGACCUGCGAGUAAUGUGUGUGUGUGCGUGUGUUUGUGUGUGUGUGUGUGGGUGGGUGGGUGUGUGUGUCUGUGUCUGUGGUGUGUGUGUGUGUGUGCGUAUGUGUCUGUGUCUGUGGUGUGUGUGUGUGUGUGUGUGUGUGCGCGCGCGUGCGCGUAUGUGUCUGUGUCUUUGUGUCUGUGGGGUGUGUGUGUGUGUGCGUAUGUGUCUGUGUCUGUGGUGUGUGUGUAUGUCUCUGUGUAUUUGUGUCUGUGGUAUGUGUGUGUGUGUGUGUGUGUAGUUGUGAGUGUUUGUGU